RNAcentral lists this ribosomal RNA (247 nucleotides) under uncultured bacterium. RNAcentral describes it as "partial 16S ribosomal RNA". It matches the Rfam family "Bacterial small subunit ribosomal RNA", at positions 15 to 252 of the family's 1533-position model. The record is from RNAcentral.
GAUCCUGGCUCAGGAUGAACGCUAGCUACAGGCUUAACACAUGUAAGUCGAGGGGCAGCAUUUCAGUUUGCUUGCAAACUGGAGAUGGCGACCGGCGCACGGGUGAGUAACACGUAUCCAACCUGCCGAUAGCUCGGGGAUAGCCUUUCGAAAGAAAGAUUAAUACCCGAUGGUAUAAUUAGACCGCAUGGUCUUGUUAUUAAAGAAUUUCGGUUAUCGAUGGGGAUGCGUUCCAUUAGGCAGUUGG